GAUGAACGCUGGCGGCGUGCCUAAUACAUGCAAGUCGAGCGAACGGACGAGAAGCUUGCUUCUCUGAUGUUAGCGGCGGACGGGUGAGUAACACGUGGAUAACCUACCUAUAAGACUGGGAUAACUUCGGGAAACCGUAGCUAAUACCGGAUAAUAUUUUGAACCGCAUGGUUCAAAAGUGAAAGACGAUCUUGCUGUCACUUAUAGAUGGAUCCGCGCUGCAUUAGCUAGUUGGUAAGGUAACGGCUUACCAAGGCAACGAUGCAUAGCCGACCUGAGAGAGUGAUCGGCCACACUGGAACUGAGACACGGUCCAGACUCCUACGGGAGGCAGCAGUAGGGAAUCUUCCGCAAUGGGCGAAAGCCUGACGGAGCAACACCGCGUGAGUGAUGAAGGUCUUCGGAUCGUAAAACUCUGUUAUUAGGGAAGAACAUAUGUGUAAGUAACUGUGCACAUCUUGACGGUACCUAAUCAGAAAGCCACGGCUAACUACGUG
RNAcentral lists this ribosomal RNA (497 nucleotides) under uncultured bacterium. RNAcentral describes it as "partial 16S ribosomal RNA". It matches the Rfam family "Bacterial small subunit ribosomal RNA", at positions 28 to 507 of the family's 1533-position model. The record is from RNAcentral.